GAUGAACGCUGGCGGCGUGCCUAAUACAUGCAAGUCGAGCGAACAGAUGAGGAGCUUGCUCCUCUGACGUUAGCGGCGGACGGGUGAGUAACACGUGGAUAACCUACCUAUAAGACUGGGAUAACUUCGGGAAACCGGAGCUAAUACCGGAUAAUAUAUUGAACCGCAUGGUUCAAUAGUGAAAGACGGUUUUGCUGUCACUUAUAGAUGGAUCCGCGCCGCAUUAGCUAGUUGGUAAGGUAACGGCUUACCAAGGCAACGAUGCGUAGCCGACCUGAGAGGGUGUACGGCCACAGUGAAAGUGAGCGACGGCCCAGAGACCUAGGGAGGGCACAAGUGGGGAAUCGACGGAAAUGGGCGAAAGCCUGACGGAGCAACGCAGCGUGAGUGAUGAAGGUCUGCGGGUGGUAAAACUCUGUUAUUGGGGAAAAACAAAUGUGUAAGUAACUAUGCACGUCUGGAGGGAACCGAAUAAGAAAGCCCCGGCAAACUACGU
RNAcentral lists this ribosomal RNA (496 nucleotides) under uncultured bacterium. RNAcentral's name for it is "partial 16S ribosomal RNA". It matches the Rfam family "Bacterial small subunit ribosomal RNA", at positions 28 to 506 of the family's 1533-position model. The record is from RNAcentral.